AGUGAACGCUGGCGGUAGGCCUAACACAUGCAAGUCGAACGGCAGCACAGUAAGAGCUUGCUCUUACGGGUGGCGAGUGGCGGACGGGUGAGGAAUACAUCGGAAUCUACUUUUUCGUGGGGGAUAACGUAGGGAAACUUACGCUAAUACCGCAUACGACCUACGGGUGAAAGCAGGGGAUCUUCGGACCUUGCGCGAUUGAAUGAGCCGAUGUCGGAUUAGCUAGUUGGCGGGGUAAAGGCCCACCAAGGCGACGAUCCGUAGCUGGUCUGAGAGGAUGAUCAGCCACACUGGAACUGAGACACGGUCCAGACUCCUACGGGAGGCAGCAGUGGGGAAUAUUGGACAAUGGGCGCGAGCCUGAUCCAGCCGUACCGCGUGGGUGAAGAAGGCCUUCGGGUUGUAAAGCCCUUUUGUUGGGAAAGAAAAGCAGCAGGUUAAUACCCCGCUGUUCUGACGGUACCCAAAGAAUAAGCACCGGCUAACUUCGUG
This 492-nucleotide ribosomal RNA is filed under the name uncultured bacterium. Its description in RNAcentral is "partial 16S ribosomal RNA". It matches the Rfam family "Bacterial small subunit ribosomal RNA", at positions 29 to 507 of the family's 1533-position model. The record is from RNAcentral.